GAUGAACGCUGGCGGCGUGCCUAACACAUGCAAGUCGAGCGAGAAGUAAAGAAAUGAAGCUUCGGUAGAUUUUCAUUAUGGAAAGCGGCGGACGGGUGAGUAACGCGUAGGCAACCUGCCCUGUACAGGGGGAUAGCUACCCGAAAAGGUGAUUAAUACCCCAUAAAGCAAGAGAUACACAUGUAUCACUUGUCAAAGAUUUAUCGGUAUGGGAUGGGCCUGCGUCUGAUUAGCUAGUUGGUAGGGUAACGGCUUACCAAGGCAACGAUCAGUAGCCGACCUGAGAGGGUGAUCGGCCACAUUGGAACUGAGACACGGUCCAAACUCCUACGGGAGGCAGCAGUGGGGAAUAUUGCACAAUGGGGGAAACCCUGAUGCAGCAACGCCGCGUGAAGGAAGAAGGCCUUCGGGUUGUAAACUUCUGUCCUAGGGGAAGAAACAAAUGACAUUACCCUUGGAGGAAGCCCCGGCUAACUACGUGCCAGCAGCCGCGGUAAUACGUAGGGGGCGAGCGUUAUCCGGAAUUAUUGGGCGUAAAGAGUGCGUAGGUGGCAUCUUAAGCGCAGGGUUUAAGGCAAUGGCUCAACCAUUGUUCGCCUUGCGAACUGGGGUGCUUGAGUGCAGGAGGGGAAAGUGGAAUUCCUAGUGUAGCGGUGAAAUGCGUAGAUAUUAGGAGGAACACCAGUGGCGAAGGCGACUUUCUGGACUGUUACUGACACUGAGGCACGAAAGCGUGGGGAGCAAACAGG
This 749-nucleotide ribosomal RNA is filed under the name uncultured bacterium. RNAcentral's name for it is "bacterial SSU rRNA". It matches the Rfam family "Bacterial small subunit ribosomal RNA", at positions 28 to 776 of the family's 1533-position model. The record is from RNAcentral.